Molecule: ribosomal RNA, 1503 nt
Filed under: Staphylococcus aureus WMCS6019
Lineage: Bacteria; Bacillati; Bacillota; Bacilli; Caryophanales; Staphylococcaceae
Description: bacterial LSU rRNA
Rfam family: Bacterial large subunit ribosomal RNA
Source: RNAcentral
AACAGGUUGAUAUUCCUGUACCACCUAUAAUCGUUUUAAUCGAUGGGGGGACGCAGUAGGAUAGGCGAAGCGUGCGAUUGGAUUGCACGUCUAAGUAGUAAGGCUGAGUAUUAGGCAAAUCCGGUACUCAUUAAGGCUGAGCUGUGAUGGGGAGAAGACAUUGUGUCUUCGAGUCGUUGAUUUCACACUGCCGAGAAAAGCCUCUAGAUAGAAAAUAGGUGCCCGUACCGCAAACCGACACAGGUAGUCAAGAUGAGAAUUCUAAGGUGAGCGAGCGAACUCUCGUUAAGGAACUCGGCAAAAUGACCCCGUAACUUCGGGAGAAGGGGUGCUCUUUAGGGUUAACGCCCAGAAGAGCCGCAGUGAAUAGGCCCAAGCGACUGUUUAUCAAAAACACAGGUCUCUGCUAAACCGUAAGGUGAUGUAUAGGGGCUGACGCCUGCCCGGUGCUGGAAGGUUAAGAAGAGUGGUUAGCUUCUGCGAAGCUACGAAUCGAAGCCCCAGUAAACGGCGGCCGUAACUAUAACGGUCCUAAGGUAGCGAAAUUCCUUGUCGGGUAAGUUCCGACCCGCACGAAAGGCGUAACGAUUUGGGCACUGUCUCAACGAGAGACUCGGUGAAAUCAUAGUACCUGUGAAGAUGCAGGUUACCCGCGACAGGACGGAAAGACCCCGUGGAGCUUUACUGUAGCCUGAUAUUGAAAUUCGGCACAGCUUGUACAGGAUAGGUAGGAGCCUUUGAAACGUGAGCGCUAGCUUACGUGGAGGCGCUGGUGGGAUACUACCCUAGCUGUGUUGGCUUUCUAACCCGCACCACUUAUCGUGGUGGGAGACAGUGUCAGGCGGGCAGUUUGACUGGGGCGGUCGCCUCCUAAAAGGUAACGGAGGCGCUCAAAGGUUCCCUCAGAAUGGUUGGAAAUCAUUCAUAGAGUGUAAAGGCAUAAGGGAGCUUGACUGCGAGACCUACAAGUCGAGCAGGGUCGAAAGACGGACUUAGUGAUCCGGUGGUUCCGCAUGGAAGGGCCAUCGCUCAACGGAUAAAAGCUACCCCGGGGAUAACAGGCUUAUCUCCCCCAAGAGUUCACAUCGACGGGGAGGUUUGGCACCUCGAUGUCGGCUCAUCGCAUCCUGGGGCUGUAGUCGGUCCCAAGGGUUGGGCUGUUCGCCCAUUAAAGCGGUACGCGAGCUGGGUUCAGAACGUCGUGAGACAGUUCGGUCCCUAUCCGUCGUGGGCGUAGGAAAUUUGAGAGGAGCUGUCCUUAGUACGAGAGGACCGGGAUGGACAUACCUCUGGUGUACCAGUUGUCGUGCCAACGGCAUAGCUGGGUAGCUAUGUGUGGACGGGAUAAGUGCUGAAAGCAUCUAAGCAUGAAGCCCCCCUCAAGAUGAGAUUUCCCAACUUCGGUUAUAAGAUCCCUCAAAGAUGAUGAGGUUAAUAGGUUCGAGGUGGAAGCAUGGUGACAUGUGGAGCUGACGAAUACUAAUCGAUCGAAGACUUAAUCAA